This 609-nucleotide ribosomal RNA is filed under the name uncultured bacterium. RNAcentral's name for it is "bacterial SSU rRNA". It matches the Rfam family "Bacterial small subunit ribosomal RNA", at positions 338 to 948 of the family's 1533-position model. The record is from RNAcentral.
CCUACGGGAGGCAGCAGUGAGGAAUAUUGGACAAUGGGCGCAAGCCUGAUCCAGCCAUGCCGCGUGCAGGAAGAAGCAUCUAUGGUGUGUAAACUGCUUUUGUACAGGAAGAAACACUCCCUCGUGAGGGAGCUUGACGGUACUGUAAGAAUAAGGACCGGCUAACUCCGUGCCAGCAGCCGCGGUAAUACGGAGGGUCCGAGCGUUAUCCGGAAUCAUUGGGUUUAAAGGGUCCGUAGGCGGUUUAAUAAGUCAGUGGUGAAAUCUGGUCGCUCAACGAUCAAACGGCCAUUGAUACUGUUAGACUUGAAUUAUAAGGAAGUAACUAGAAUACGUAGUGUAGCGGUGAAAUGCUUAGAUAUUACAUGGAAUACCAAUUGCGAAGGCAGGUUACUACUUAUGGAUUGACGCUGAUGGACGAAAGCGUGGGGAGCGAACAGGAUUAGAUACCCUGGUAGUCCACGCCGUAAACGAUGGAUACUAGCUGUUCGGAGCAAUCUGAGUGGCUAAGCGAAAGUGAUAAGUAUCCCACUGGGGAGUACGUUCGCAAGAAUGAAACUUAAAUGAAAUUGACGGCUGAGACGNGCGAGACGACGACGAGGGAGGAGG